This 305-nucleotide ribosomal RNA is filed under the name uncultured bacterium. RNAcentral's name for it is "bacterial SSU rRNA". It matches the Rfam family "Bacterial small subunit ribosomal RNA", at positions 336 to 658 of the family's 1533-position model. The record is from RNAcentral.
UUCCUACGGGGGGCAGCAGUGGGGAAUAUUGCACAAUGGGGGAAACCCUGAUGCAGCGACGCCGCGUGAGUGAAGAAGUAUUUCGGUAUGUAAAGCUCUAUCAGCAGGGAAGAAAAAAGACGGUAUCUUACGAGAAAGCCACGGCUAACUACGUGCCAGCAGCCGCGGUAAUACGUAGGUGGCGAGCGUUAUCCGGAAUGAUUGGGCGUAAAGGGUGCGCAGGCGGAAUAACAAGUCUGAAGUAAAAGGCAUUGGCUUAACCAAUGUAUGCUAUGGAAACUGUUAAACUAGAGUGCAGGAGAGGG